RNAcentral lists this ribosomal RNA (476 nucleotides) under uncultured bacterium. RNAcentral describes it as "bacterial SSU rRNA". It matches the Rfam family "Bacterial small subunit ribosomal RNA", at positions 1 to 524 of the family's 1533-position model. The record is from RNAcentral.
GGAUCCAGACUUUGAUUAUGGCUCAGAACGAACGCUGGCGGCAGGCCUAACACAUGCAAGUCGAGCGCGCCCUUCGGGGUGAGCGGCGGACGGGUUAGUAACGCGUGGGAACGUGCCCUUUGGUACGGAAUAGCCUCUGGAAACGGAGAGUAAUACCGUAUGAGCCCUUCGGGGGAAAGAUUUAUCGCCAAAGGAUCGGCCCGCGUUAGAUUAGGUAGUUGGUGGGGUAAUGGCCUACCAAGCCUACGAUCUAUAGCUGGUUUUAGAGGAUGAUCAGCAACACUGGGACUGAGACACGGCCCAGACUCCUACGGGAGGCAGCAGUGGGGAAUCUUGGACAAUGGGGGCAACCCUGAUCCAGCCAUGCCGCGUGAGUGAUGAAGGCCUUAGGGUCGUAAAGCUCUUUCGCCUGUGAAGAUAAUGACGGUAGCAGGUAAAGAAACCCCGGCUAACUCCGUGCCAGCAGCCGCGGUAAU